UNCGGAUUUAUUGGGCGUAAAGGGAGCGCNGGCGGUUUAGUAAGUCUGAAGUUAAAGGCAUUGGCUCAACCAANGUAUGCUUUGGAAACUGUUAGACUUGAGUGCAGAAGGGGAGAGUGGAAUUCCAUGUGUAGCGGUGAAAUGCGUAGAUAUAUGGAGGAACACCGGUGGCGAAAGCGGCUCUCUGGUCUGUCACUGACGCUGAGGCUCGAAAGCGUGGGUAGCGAACAGGAUUAGAUACCCUGGUAGUCCACGCCGUAAACACUGAGUGCUAGGUGUUAGGUCCUUUCCGGGACUUAGUGCCGACGCUAACGCAUUAAGCACUCCGCCUGGGGAGUACGACCGCAAGGUUGAAACUCAAAGGAAUUGACGGGGGCCCGCACAAGCGGUGGAGCAUAUGGUUUAAUUCGAAGCAACGCGAAGAACCUUACCAGGUCUUGACAUCCCGAUGCCCGCUCUAGAGAUAGAGUUUUUCUUCGGAACAUCGGAGACAGGUGGUGCAUGGUUGUCGUCAGCUCGUGUCGUGAGAUGUUGGGUUAAGUCCCGCAACGAGCGCAACCCUUAUUGUUGGUUGCCAUCAUUAAGUUGGGCACUCUAGCGAGACUGCCGGUAAUAAACCGGAGGAAGGUGGGGAUGACGUCAAAUCAUCAUGCCCCUUAUGACCUGGGCUACACACGUGCUACAAUGGUUGGUACAACGAGUCGCAAGCCGGUGACGGCAAGCUAAUCUCUGAAAGCCAAUCUCAGUUCGGAUUGCAGGCUGCAACUCGCCUACAUGAAGUCGGAAUCGCUAGUAAUCGCGGAUCAGCACGCCGCGGUGAAUACGUUCCCGGGCCUUGUACACACCGCCCGUCACACCACGAGAGUUUGUAACACCCAAAGUCGGUGAGGUAACCAUUUAUG
This 902-nucleotide ribosomal RNA is filed under the name uncultured bacterium. Its description in RNAcentral is "bacterial SSU rRNA". It matches the Rfam family "Bacterial small subunit ribosomal RNA", at positions 544 to 1445 of the family's 1533-position model. The record is from RNAcentral.